RNAcentral lists this ribosomal RNA (253 nucleotides) under uncultured bacterium. Its description in RNAcentral is "partial 16S ribosomal RNA". It matches the Rfam family "Bacterial small subunit ribosomal RNA", at positions 524 to 776 of the family's 1533-position model. The record is from RNAcentral.
UACGUAGGGUGCGAGCGUUGUCCGGAAUUAUUGGGCGUAAAGGGCUCGUAGGCGGUUUGUCACGUCGGGAGUGAAAACUCAGGGCUUAACCCUGAGCCUGCUUCCGAUACGGGCAGACUAGAGGUAUGCAGGGGAGAACGGAAUUCCUGGUGUAGCGGUGAAAUGCGCAGAUAUCAGGAGGAACACCGGUGGCGAAGGCGGUUCUCUGGGCAUGUCCUGACGCUGAGGAGCGAAAGUGUGGGGAGCGAACAGG